This 18-nucleotide small RNA is filed under the name Arabidopsis thaliana (thale cress). RNAcentral's name for it is "ATSL147260". The record is from RNAcentral. Lineage: Eukaryota; Viridiplantae; Streptophyta; Magnoliopsida; Brassicales; Brassicaceae.
UAUUAUGUCUCUGGUUUC